UCACUCAGAAGAGGUGCGUUACUCAGGUAGUCGUCGGGGAGACCCGCUCAAGUCCGACGAUCAGGGGAGUAACGCCGAGGCCAAUGCCUGCGGGACGGGCAAAGGUCGGCUACGAGGGCUGAAUCCCUCGGGCUGUCACCGCCAUCGGCGGUGGAGAGCUUCUGAUAUG
RNAcentral lists this non-coding RNA (169 nucleotides) under Vibrio stylophorae. RNAcentral describes it as "Lysine". It matches the Rfam family "Lysine riboswitch aptamer". From Rfam's summary of the family: Riboswitches are metabolite binding domains within certain messenger RNAs that serve as precision sensors for their corresponding targets. The record is from RNAcentral. Lineage: Bacteria; Pseudomonadati; Pseudomonadota; Gammaproteobacteria; Vibrionales; Vibrionaceae.